UUGGCCGCUCAGUACACACGAAGCGGGCUGUCAGGAUUGUUUAUUUUUAAAAAAUUUACUUAAUUUGUUUCUGUUUUUAGUUAGGUAUUUAAAAUUGCGCAAACUAAGAUUAACUAUAUAGAGAGGUUACGGCUGCGCUGAAUUCUAGGGGCAAUAGCAUUAGCAAACACUGGAGACCCCCAGAAUUCUGGGGGGUAAUAGCAUUUUAGGUCGCUAGAGGCCCCCAGAAUUCUGGCGGGUAAUAGGUGUGACCUACUAUUAUACCAUGGCCAUAGAAUCGCGACGUAGAAGAAGAGAAUCUAUUAGAUUGUUUAAUGGCGUAGGUUUUCGUAGUUUUCGACGCGAUGUGUGUUAAUUGGUGGAGAAACAUUGUCAUAAUCGGAUAUCGGAACGGAUUUCCAUAAUGUGCACGUGUUGUAACCGACCAGCACAAAAUUGAUACAUUUUUUUUCAUUUAUCACAAAUUGGUUUAUAUCAGCAGCAUUUCCACUCUAUAGCAGCAGAAGCCAAGCUGUUCAGUCAAUGGAAGACCAUAGUAAUUGCAGUUAAUGAGAUACAACAACUUUGUUGCCAAUAACAACAUGCUGCAUUUAUUUUUGUCCACAGCCAAAAUAAAUUGCAACUUCUUUCACAGGAGUAACACAUUGUGUGGUUUAAGUUGUUAGCUACCAUAGUCUCCUGAUAGUUUGAGUCUGACAAUAAGCAAUACCAUAUUGUUAUUUGUUUCUUCCCUUUGCAGAGAUGUUAGCUUGUUGUGAUUUUAGACCACAGUAUAGACUGAGCCUUUGUAUCUGUGUCAAACCAGUUACAUCAACUCACUUGUUGUUGACACCCCUGGAGAUAUUACCAAACUUUCGAAAUGGUUGAAGCAGGCACCCAUAAUAUGUCGAUUCAAUUUCAGUGCUAUCACUGUAAGGAUGGUAACCUGUUAUUAAGUUACACCAACUGUUUCAUUUGGCCAUAGGAUAGAUAGACCAAAAGAGUGAUACUCUUUAAUGUUUGCAGUGUGUUUGUCACAUUCAAUGAAUCCAUAUCUUCUCGUGAAUUGAUGGACUGAAUAAUGUCAGAUUGCCAAAAAAAACAAACACUGGAACCCUUCUGCAUGACUUUGAACCACAAGAUAUUGAUCUUUUUUACAUUCGCCUUUUGGGUUGAACGGUAAAGAGUUUCACGGUUCACUGUUUUAUCCGAAAAUCGUAUAUCCACGAAAUGUUGGCAUCAUUGGUCUAUGAACAGAUAUGAUGAUGACUGAAAUCAAUUGGAUCAGCUGAAAACAUAUGUUGAGACAUCUAUGCAACUUUGUACUUGGAUAUGUGUCAUUCCACUGGUAGUGGCUAAAUAAUCAAACUUGGAAUCGCGUGUCUUCAACCAACUCACCUCAUCUAGGCCUGACCAGUAUCGGCCCGAAGAAAGUAGUCAUCUAGUCACACGUCAGAUAACAAAUCCUGCUAAGUAAACCAUAUGAUAAGGAAGUGAACAUCAAUCAUUCGAACGUGAGUCUAAUGGUCUAAUGAAAAAUAAGGAUUCAUUCGGUUACCGACUUGACCUGCACGAGGAUUUUAGCCAUAUCGGAUAUCGGAAAGGAACACCUUUACCGAACAUAAUGUUCUUCUAACGUAAAUUAUUGGAUGUUCAUUCUAUGUCGGAUUUAGAUUUUAUUUAGAAAUCCUGGCAGAAGCUUUUCAUUUAUAAGACCAUAGAAGGAUUGCACACACUAAUGUUUUAAAGUUAAUAAACGUAAAAAAUGGAAAAUGGGGUUUCAGAAUGAGGCGGGAGUUUUUGUCAAUGCUGAAGUUUGGAAACACGAUCGGAUAUACCCAUGAAAUGAAAAACAUUCUCUCACGUUAUGGUAUUUGUCGUACAUAAAUUGAAGUGCAUAUCUGGGCUCCCUUCUUUUCUGUGGCCCCGUUUCCCCUUGACUCGUAAUAAGCCCGUAGGGGGUCACGCCCCUACUGUACGGUAUAUAUAAAAACAACAUAUAUCGAGGU
RNAcentral lists this long non-coding RNA (1988 nucleotides) under Daphnia magna. Its description in RNAcentral is "uncharacterized LOC123471033, transcript variant X3". The record is from RNAcentral. Lineage: Eukaryota; Metazoa; Arthropoda; Branchiopoda; Diplostraca; Daphniidae.